AACGGCCCACCAAGGCUACGAUCAGUAGGGGUUCUGAGAGGAAGGUCCCCCACAUUGGAACUGAGACACGGUCCAAACUCCUACGGGAGGCAGCAGUGAGGAAUAUUGGUCAAUGGGCGAGAGCCUGAACCAGCCAAGUAGCGUGCAGGAUAACGGCCCUAUGGGUUGUAAACUGCUUUUACGCGGGGAUAAAGUGCGUGACGUGUCGCGCAUCGCAGGUACCGCGUGAAUAAGGACCGGCUAAUUCCGUGCCAGCAGCCGCGGUAAAU
This 269-nucleotide ribosomal RNA is filed under the name uncultured Prevotella sp. RNAcentral's name for it is "partial 16S ribosomal RNA". It matches the Rfam family "Bacterial small subunit ribosomal RNA", at positions 259 to 525 of the family's 1533-position model. Lineage: Bacteria; Pseudomonadati; Bacteroidota; Bacteroidia; Bacteroidales; Prevotellaceae. The record is from RNAcentral.